This 397-nucleotide ribosomal RNA is filed under the name uncultured bacterium. Its description in RNAcentral is "partial 16S ribosomal RNA". It matches the Rfam family "Bacterial small subunit ribosomal RNA", at positions 523 to 918 of the family's 1533-position model. The record is from RNAcentral.
AUACGUAGGUGGCAAGCGUUGUCCGGAAUUAUUGGGCGUAAAGCGCGCGCAGGCGGUCCUUUAAGUCUGAUGUGAAAGCCCACGGCUCAACCGUGGAGGGUCAUUGGAAACUGGGGGACUUGAGUGCAGAAGAGGAAAGUGGAAUUCCAAGGGUAGCGGUGAAAUGCGUAGAGAUUUGGAGGAACACCAGGGGGGAAGGCGGCUUUCUGGGUCGUAACUGGCGGUGGGGCGCGAAAGCGUGGGGAGCAAACAGGAUUAGAUACCCUGGUAGUCCACGCCGUAAACGAUGAGUGCUAAGUGUUAGGGGGUUUCCGCCCCUUAGUGCUGCAGCUAACGCAUUAAGCACUCCGCCUGGGGAGUACGGUCGCAAGACUGAAACUCAAAGGAAUUGACGGGG